UGCCCCGUUGUGUAACGGUAGCACGACGGACUCUGACUCCGUUUGUCGAGGUUCAAAUCCUUGCGGGGCAGCCA
This 74-nucleotide transfer RNA is filed under the name bacterium. RNAcentral describes it as "tRNA-Gln". It matches the Rfam family "tRNA". From Rfam's summary of the family: Transfer RNA (tRNA) molecules are approximately 80 nucleotides in length. Their secondary structure includes four short double-helical elements and three loops (D, anti-codon, and T loops). Further hydrogen bonds mediate the characteristic L-shaped molecular structure. tRNAs have two regions of fundamental functional importance: the anti-codon, which is responsible for specific mRNA codon recognition, and the 3' end, to which the tRNAs corresponding amino acid is attached (by aminoacyl-tRNA synthetases). tRNAs cope with the degeneracy of the genetic code in two manners: having more than one tRNA (with a specific anti-codon) for a particular amino acid; and 'wobble' base-pairing, i.e. permitting non-standard base-pairing at the 3rd anti-codon position. The record is from RNAcentral. RNAcentral also lists the same sequence under 1 other name.